Podarcis lilfordi (Lilford's wall lizard) is the source of this 14060-nucleotide non-coding RNA. The record is from the annotation of a GenBank genome assembly. NCBI's taxonomy places the organism in Eukaryota, Metazoa, Chordata, Lepidosauria, Squamata, Lacertidae.
UCGAGCAUCAGGGGUUAUUCAAAGGAGAGGUGAGACUUUAAGACACUUCACAAAAGAGUUUCUGAGGUGAAGAUUGAGAACAGAGAAGGGCUUUCCAUCUUAAACUAGGGAGGUUCAACCUGUGAGUCCUCUCGUUAAACUCUCCAUGAAAGAGAUUUGGUGGGAUGUGGGGAGGAGAGAACACAUCAACACGACCAGGCUCUCUCAUCUCAGUGACACAUUCAGAUCUGCAUUUCCCUUCAGUGGAAGUAAAUCCCACUGAAAUCAGAGGAACUAGCUUCUGAGUAGGCCUGGUUAGAGCUGGGGGAUAUUUCAGUAUCAUUUGACAUUUGAUGUCUUUACUGGAUAUUAAGAAGUUGAUGAAUAGUUAGCCUUUCUUUGAAGUCUUCUUUGUCAAAAGCAGCAAAGAGAUGAGAAGCAAUUCCGCCAACAAUAAGAUGACCACGUUGGUAGUAUUCAUGUGGAAUUCUGGACAGAUCAUGGACGGUACAAUUCGUGGUAUGUUUGCACACCAUAAGUGGCAGAUGAAAGAGAAGGGGCACAAUAAACAGCAGCAUACUGAAGCAAAUAUUAUUCUCAUCAAACAAUCUUAUUUCCAUCCAGCACAUGAACCUUCCUUCACAACUAACCUCAGUACAAUAUUCUGCCUUAUCACGAACAGCACUUCUCUAACAAUUCACAGAUUUAAAUCCUAUUUUACAACUUGAUUAAGAAAAUAGUUAAAAUCCUUCCUCUCCUCUCCCUUGUAAAGAAUGGCAAGAAGAGGUUAUAAUACCCAUGUUUUGACAUUGGUUAGUAUUCUCUGGAAAUCUACUGAGACAUUAUCCAAGGGAGACAUAGACAUGCUGAGAGUGAUAAUUAUAGGUGAGAUAAUAACAAGCUCUCUUUACAUCAGGAACAUCUGAAAAUGCCCAAUAAUAAUAAUAAUAACCCUGUUUCUGAUGUUUCAUUCAAAGUUCUUUCUGACUGUUUUAUGGCUCAACAAUAGGGCAUGCAGAAUUAACAGCAAUGAAAAGAGAAGAACAGUGGGCCAGUCUCUUAUCAGUGUCAACCAGUGGAAAAGAUUAAUCUGACCUCCUAAAAUUUCCCACCUGAACACCAGUUGAUUAGUUUUCUGACAAUUAUACUGAGAUGAAAUAAUGGUGAAAAGGACAGAGUUUUGUAGGUGGUUUCGUUGGAAGCACGAAAAAAUAGGAAUCAAAAAAGGAGAAUGCUCUGGAUGCCAAGAUCCGGGUUGAGGGCACAAACUCUUGGUUGAGAGAUUCCCACAAACAACUAUUUAUGUUCCUGAUAGAAAAGCCCCUCACUACUAGUUGGAGGGAGUAAUAUAUAAAAGUAAUAACUAAAAAGUAGUGAAUGGUGGUAUUAUAUUUUCUAAUAAAAUGGAGCUUAAUUUCACUCAAGUUCAAAAUGCUUUUACUUCAAAAUAUUCAUUCAGAAGCAUUCUGCCCUAUCUUAUAACUAUAAACCCAUUAAAAAUACCAAAAUUGUUAUUCAUUGAAUUCUAAGUUUAAAAACCCCUCCAGGAAUGGUCUAGCAUAUAUUGCCCAUAACCAUGGGCAUCCCCCACUGCACACGAAUAAUAACUAAAUACUUAAUUAAUACCCAGAUAUGGAGGGAGAGAGCUGGAGAGUUCUCAUGGCUUGUGAGGGCUGAGACUGGAGGUGCAGCAGUGGCUUGUUUAUGCUGCUCAGCCCCACCUGACAGCUAAUAUGCAUAGAAGAGCAGCAGAACCAGCAACAUUUCCACACAUCCUCCAGUCAGCUCCCAAAAUAACAGAUGUGGGUAUUUUAGGUGCAAUAUUCUUGAUUUGGGAUGGAGAGAGAGAAGUAUAGAAGACAUUCAAAGGAUUUAGAUGGUGCUUCCCACUUAUCAAAUCUUCAUUUAUGGGUGGGCACUUGAACAUAACCCCAAGUAAGUGGGCACUCACUGUUCUGAAAUCUCUGAGACAGUAGCAACUCUACUGAAACCUUACUGAGAGGAAAAUAACCUAGAAAGGAUCAAGCUUUAAAAAAAAAAUGCCUCUCAGUGUAUUGGUUUUUUUGUUCAGUUUCUAAUCAAUUGCCCUUUGAGGUUCUAGUCAGGCCCCAAUAUUUUGUGGUACUCAUAACAGUUUCUUGGUUUUCCAGAUAAGCCUUAGGUUUAAAACAAGAUCAGGGGCUCCUAGCUCAGAGGGACCACAGUGAAUUUUGUUAAAGAAAUUGCACAUAGCAAUUGCAACACAUAAAAUACAAGAUAAUUUAAUGAUGUCGAUAAAGAGAAUUAUAUUGCUCAUAUUUUGGUAGAAAAAACCCACGAAAAUGAUAGGAUUUUUUAUUGCUCCUUGCUGUUCAGAUCAGGCCUCAACACAAUGAUGUAGCAUUUUGGGAAAAAGAUAGAACCCAAUAUGCCAGCACUGGAGGCCAAGAUGGAGAAGAUCUCCACAGCGACCAUGUAUUUCCCCUUGGUGCUCAGGUAGACUGGAACAAACGAGAUCCAAACACUACAAAACAAGAACAUGCUGAAGGUGAUGAAUUUGGCCUCAUUGAAGCUCUCAGGAAGUUUCCUAGCAAAAAAGGCCACAACAAAGCUGAAAAUGGCCAAAAAGCCCAUGUAGCCCAGGACACAGUAAAACAGGGCAACUGACCCUUCGUUGCAGCCUAAAAUGAUUUCCCUCAUCACAGAGUGCAUGUCAGAAUCAGGGAAUGGGGGAGAGAUUUCUAACCACACAAUGCAAAUGGCAGCUUGGAUAAGCGAACAAGAAAUCACAAUGAUGCUUGCCAGUCUUUUCCCCACCCAUUUUCUCAUUCUAGAUCCUGGUUUGGUGGCCACAAAGGCCAGAACCACCGUGAUCGUUUUGGCCAGAACACAAGAAACAGUCACUGUGAAAACAAGGCCAAAAGCCAUUUGUCGGAGCAGGCAGCUCACUCUUUCUGGAGGGCUGAGGAAGAUCAAUGGGCAGAGGGAGCAGAGCAGGAGGGAAGUGAGGAGAGUGUAGGUGAGGUCCCGAUUGUUUGCUCUGACAAGUGGUGUGUCCUGAUGUUUAAUGAAGAUGGCUAGGACCACCACUGUGAGGAGAGAGAGGGACAGAGCAAACAUUGCUAAGCUCAUCCCCAGGGGCUCUUUAAAAGACAGGAAGGUGAUGGUCUUUGGAAUACAUUGUGUUUGAUCUCUGUUUGGAUAGUGGUCUUCAGGGCACCCAACACAAUCUUCCAUGUCUGGAAAGAAAACAAUACUUUCAGAUUUCAGAUGUGUUGGAGAGCAACUACUAACGGUGUCAGUAUGGAACUCAUAAGGUUAAAUUACAAUUUUUGCAGGUAUUUCCAGACAAACCUGAGUGUAAGUGUGAAUGAAUGAGAAUCCCAGCUUAGCACUCUGUUCUGGGCCAUUCAGCAUACCCUGUGAUGUCACACUAACCCCCCAGUUUAGAUGGAUAAGGGUGGUAACUACAAAUAAAUAUCAUGCUUGUCUUAAUUACUCAAGUGUGGUACAUUAUUGGAAUCAAUCCAUCAAAUCAUGUUUUGCUAGACAGGCACACGAAGCGGCUAAGGUCACAGAACUUUCCUGUAAAUUUUGCUGCCGAGGACUCUGUGAGAUCACUUCCUUUGUUUGCCUUGGCAGGCAGCUAUAACACUACUCCUUCCUGCUUGGGCAUCUCCCUCUUUUUCUUCGUCAUGCCUCAGAUUUUGUACUUUUGUAAUUUAUCAGUUAGAAACCUGCCUUCAUUUUGCUACUGUAACUGCUGCUUCGAAAACUUGAUUAUGUAAAUACUACUUUCAUUUCUUUACAAAACAAAGUGUACAUGAUUGUUCUUUUUAAGGAGGAGAAAAGGGGUAAUAUGAGGGAAAAUCCAGUUUGCCACCAAGCAUCCUGGAUUAUUUCUAGAAGGUUAAAUCAAUGUCAUUUUAGCUUCCAAGUUUAAAGUUGCAAAGGGUGAUACCCUCCUGAUCUCACUCCUGUGAGCAAGGGAUUAUAAUGACUAAAUUAUAUAUCCUCUCCUUGUAGCUAAUUCUAGUCCUACAUUCAGAACAGGAACUAAGGAAGGUGUCUUAUGGCAAGUCGGAUCACUGGCCCAGCUAGCUCAGUAUCGCCUGCCGUACUUUAGCCUCUGACAAAGAUUAGAUCAUGGGUAACUAACCUUUCCUUUUUAAGACAAGGUUCAUUCCUUGGGGGAGAGGCUCUCUGCCAAUAUGGAUCAAGGUGAAAAUUACUUUUGUUGAUAUUUCAGUGGGAAAGUUACCAAAAUGGCACUCUUUGAACCAACACAUGAACCAAAGUAUUGUUACCCUGCAAAAUGUGUACAUCUCCAAAAUUUGUGAUGCAGUUUUCUAAUCAAGUGAUAUGUACAGCAAUGCAACAUAUUCCCAUUUAUCUAUCUAUCUAUCUAUCUAUCUAUCUAUCUAUCUAUCUAUCUAUCUUCUUCCAUGGUUUCUAACAUGACAUUUUAUUUAUUCAUCUAUCUAUUUAUUAAAUUUGCAUACCACCUGUCAGGGAACUGACAUCGGAGCCAGAGGCGGAGGCUAGGCUCUCAAGCGAUGCUGGAGAAGGGCCCAGCAGGGGGAGAGGCGGCUCACCAGCUGGGGAAAGAAAUCAGCGUAACACCAGGGAUAAAGGGGGGCAGAUGGGGAAUCGGCGAGGGGCUCCAGGACUCCUCGCCGGAGAUCAGCGAGGAGAGCACGGGUCCUCCGCUUCCCACGCCCUCCCUGCGCAGAAGGCUUCCGCGCAGGGAGAGUAGGAGGAGACUUGGAGUCAAACAACUUUUAUGCUGGAAAAGGUUUAAGAAACGCCCACUGACGGAUUCUGCUAGCGACUGAACAGCCACGAAGUGCAGGGCUGUCCAGACAGAAAAGGUUUAACAAGGCAACCGAGCCAGGAGUGGCACCAACUUGCGCACGAGCAACCCCUACAUUUAUUACACCACCUUUCACCCAAAAGUAACAUCACUGGCCCACUUAGCUCAGUAUUGCCUGCUGUAUUAUAAACUCUGACAAAUAAUAGAACAUAGGUGACAAAACAUUUCUUUUUAGGUCAAAGUCCAUAUUUUUUUUUAAUGGGGCUGUCUUCCAAUAAGGAUGGAGGAGAAAUUUGGUUUUGUUGCCAUUUGAAUGGGAAAGAUCUAAAUUGCACUCCUUGAACUAACACAUGAACCAAAAGAUAGUUGUCCCGAAAGAUAUGUGCUUAUCUUCAAGCUUGCAAUACAGUUUUCUGAACAAACAAUAUGUACAAAAAUGCACAUAUUACUAAUUAAAGUGGAACCUGGGUUUUAAAAUUUCUCAAUUGACAAAUGUUUUGGAACUCAAAUGCCGAAAACGCGAAAGUAAAUGGCUUCUGUUGAGAUACCACUGUAUUUUUCUCAAUUUUCUCUGUAAAUUUGCAGACCGCCCUUUGUGCCACAGUUUUUGAACGUUUUGGAAGUCAAAUGGUCCUCUGGAAUGGAUUACAAUCGAAAACUAAGGUUCCAUUGUAUUUACUUAACUUUCCCCACAACUGCUAAUAUGACUUAAGUUUGAAAGGUAUAUAUCCGGGGUCAGUCUGGGAUGAAAUCUUGCAUUGAGGAAAUGGAACACCUGACAUUUUAAACAUGACAUUUCAUUUCAUUUUCCUUAUUUUUCUUAUUUACUAAGUUUGUAUACUACCCUUCAUCCGAAGAUCUCAGGGUGAUUCACAGCAUAACAAAUGUUAUAAAAUAAUAUAGCAUGAUAUAUGUUUGAAAAGCACCAUAUAUAUAUAUAUAUAUAUAUAUAUAUAUAUAUAUAUAUAUAUAGUGUCUCCUACCUUUCUGGGAUGAAAUCUUGCCUUGAGGACAUGGGGCACAAUCAUAGCAGCAGAAUGGCUCCCCCUCCUUCUUCUCCUUACUGGAACCAGGAGGGCAACUUGGGUUACAUACAGAAAGGGGUGGAACCUGCCCAUUUAAAUAAACACAUAAACAGUUUAGCACACAGAAAUUAGCUAGAACUAGCAAGCACUGAACAACAUAUUCCAAAAUCAGGGUCAAAUUACCCUUUCUGCUUUCCAUGGUUUUAAAACAGAAUGCUGAAACUGACCAUCUUUGAGCCCCGUUCUGCACAGAAUGCAUGAGGACUCAAUUUGGGAAGAGGAUUGGGGGCUUAUCUUCAUAAGCUCUGCCCCCAUUAUCCCCAUAUACAAAAGGAAUACCUGUUCCACCCCCAAUUUUUCAUUCUUAGCACAUGUAAAAGUUUAUGCCUUCAGGAGAGGACAGUAGUGUAGUGCCAGUUGUUGUUUAGUCAUUUAGUCGUGUCCAACUCUUCGUGACCGCAUGGACCAGAGCACGCCAGGCACUCCUGUCUUCCACUGCCUCCCUCAGCUUGGUCAAACUCAUGUUGGUAGCUUCAAGAACACUGUCCACCCAUCUCAUCCUCUGUUGUCCCCUUAUCCUUGUGCCCUCAAUCUUUCCCAACAUCAGGGUCUUUUCCAGGGAGUCUUCUCUUCUCAUGAGGUGGCCAAAGUAUUGGAGUCUCAGCUUCACGAUCUGUCCUUCCAGUGAGCACUCAGGGCUGAUUUCCUUAAGAAUGGGUAGGUUUGAUCUUCUUGCAGUCCAUGGGACUGUAGUGCCAAUAAUGAUCUAAAAAUGUGGAGAAUGUGUGGAAUGUGGUCUUGUGGUCAGAUCCUGCUUGCAGGUUUCCUACAGACAUCUGGUUGACCAGUUUGAGAACCAGGUUUAUUAUUUAUUUGUUUUCUAUACCUCCUUUCAUCGGAAGAUUGCAGGACAGUUUACAGUACAGUCGUACCUCGGAAGUCGAACAGAUUCAGUUCAGGAAGUCCGUUCGACUUCCAAAACAUUUGGAAACCAAGGAGUGGCUUCUGAUUGGCCGCAGCCAAUCAGAAGCUGCGUAAACUGCGUUGGCUGUUCAGGUUCCAAAGAACAUUCGCAAACCGGAACACUCACUUCCAGGUUUGCGGCGUUCAGGAGUCAAAACGUUCGACUUGCAAGACAUUCGUCAACCAAGGGACGACUGUAUAAAAUAUACAAAAAUGCAGAACACAGUAACAAACAAAGCAAUACCUGCCUCCGCCUCCACCCCUGAUUUAAAAGGCCAUAGACAGUUUAAUCUGCAAAUGGCCUAGGUGAAGAAGAAUAUUUUCAUCUCACACCUAAAGAUAUGUAGGGAAGGGGCCAAACGAGCCUUCCUUGGGAGAGUUGAUUCUCUAUACCUUUGCCCUCAUUUAUUGUUUGAUUCUUCCCCAAUCUAAGAAGCCCCUUUCCUCAUUCCACAGUUGGGGACAAAGAACAGUUGUGCACAAAUUUCUGUGGCCCCUGCUUCCUACUCAACCAUUAGCAUUUGAUCUCCAAGGAACCUUCUUCUUGCCAACAAAGUCAUGAAGUACAUUGAUACAGAAAGAGCCCCAAGCUCCAUGCAUGCCAUAUCCAGAUGCUGGACAAGACUGGCCAUUGGUGUUACCCUGGACUAGAUGGGCCGUGGGUGUGACCCAGCAAGCUCAUCUUAUGUUCCCAUGUAGUGUAGAAGAAAAUGUUUUGAAUACGGCUGGAGAGCCACCUAUGUGCUGGACUAAUGAUCUAUAAGUGCAAGAACAUUCUGUUUUCCUAUCUCUCGUAGGUAUAGGAAUUAUGCCCCACCUGGUAAAAGCUGCUGUGCCACACCAUUCUGUUGUCAUCAAUGGAUGUUUUCUUUCCCGGGGCAGCUUCCACGUCCACCCUUCCAACCUUGACCCUCACAAAGGAGUUAUUUGGGAAAGUGACCAGGUUGGUAAUAUCAAAGCCAGUAUCUACUUCCCCAUUCUCACUAAAAGAUAAAGUUUCUCCAGCAGAGCUGUUAAACGAGACACUUCUAAGGAAGGGAUGGAGCUGCAUUGGAAUAAAAAUAGUAAUUAUGAAUAACGCAAAUCUCUCGCCGUACUGGCACCCAGGAUGCAGGUCGUGCAAUGCAAACAUAAUGCAUUCCUUAGAAAUAAUUCACAAGGUGAGCAUUUUCAUAGGGAGCUAAUGUUUUCCAUUAUUUCCUGGAGGGAAAUCUCAAUGCAUUCCCAACCAAGAAACAAUGAGAAAAAAAUCCAAGGCUUUCAGGUCUUAUUGCCUGGAUAUCUCCCCUCUUUCAAGAGAAUGGUAGGGUAACCAGCCUCAUAUAAUCAGCAUAGGUAAAGGUAAAGGGACCCCUGACCAUUAGGUCCAGUCAUGGCUGACUCUGGGGUUGCGGCGCUCAUCUCGCUUUAUUGGCCGAGGGAGCCGGCGUACAGCUUCCAGGUCAUGUGGCCAGCAUGACUAAGCCACUUCUGGCAAACCAGAGCAGCGCACGGAAACACUGUUUACUUUCCCGCCGGAGCGGUACCUAUUUAUCUACUUGCACUUUGACGUGCUUUCGAACUGCUAGGUUGGCAGGAGCAGGGACUGAGCAAUGGAAGCUCACCAUACUUGAGUCUAAUUAAUUCACACAGAGGUUAAUGCCAUAGAGUAAGCUACCUUGCCAGGCUCACUUCCCCUCACCUUGGGAGAAAAUGGCAGCAAAGCCUUUUGUUCUACUUAGUCCACAUCUUAAUUUGGUGCAUGCGGAGCUCUGAGCUGUUCCCUCCAGCCAUAUGGAUUUACCCAGUCUCUUUUGUUACAGACAAGAGUAUGAAACAACCUAUAUUUCCAUGCUUUUGUUUGCUGCAUGCUUUGCUGUGUUAAACCUCUGGUGGGGUUCUUGCACCAAAGAGUACUUCCCUAGCUCUGCUCACUGUUCCCAAUCCCCAUUCCUCAGCCUCAGCUACAUUCUUCUCCAGCUCUGGCUGCCUCUCCCUGCCAGCUCUCCCUUUCUCCUCUUAGUGUAGGCCCGGAUCCUUCUUUUAACUUGAGUGCAGAGAAGCUGCUUGUGAAGGACCAGCACAGUGCAGGAUUGGAUCAUUCUGCUUAACAGCUGUAAGCAAGGUGGUCUGAACCUGCACUGUGCAACUCCUCCACAAGCAGCUUCUCUACACAGCAAGAGAGAAUCUGAUCAUACUGUCCUACAUAUCACUGCCCAGGUCUGUGUGUGUGUGUGUGUGUGUGUGUGUGUGUGUGUGUGUAGGCAUUACCUGCCAAGGCUGUAGCAUUAGAAGCUCCUGCAUCCCUCCUUGCACCACUGCUCUGUAUUUGGUCCUGGACAAGAACAUGGCAUGUAAAGCAUGUGCCGUUGCAUGGACAGCAUUAUAGAGACUGUAGCUGUGGCCAGUUAUGCUCAUCUCAAAACCAGACGAUGGGAGAUCUUCCAGCUUUUCCUCUCCAGUGCAGGUUCCACUGGCCUGUUUCCCUGUAUUGGAGUUUGUAAAUAAACAGACAAAGGCUUGUGCCCAGAACUGCUUGAGAAAGCCAUUUCCAUUCACUUCAAAAGGAUUUUGUGCCUGAAGAAAAGCUUUGAAUCCUUGCACCACAUUUGAAUGAACUGUAAAGGAGAGGGAACCAUGAAAGACUUGCAUAUCCAUGCUCAUUUGAUAGGUCAUUGCUGUGAAAUCCAGCUGUGCUGUCAGAAUCCACACCUUGCCCACAGUUGUCUUGGUCACAUUUUCCAAUUCACCUAGUGCUACCAUUGAUCGCAAGAUAAGCAUAGACUUUGUUCCUCCAUAGACAACAACAACAUUGGCUUUACUUUCCAUAAUAACGUGAUAGAUUUGGAUCCAGUCAGAAUACAUGAUAUAAUACUCAGUCAAAUAUGUGGUUUUCAGGUUUGUGUCUGAGAAGGCCAAGCAUAUGCCUUUCUGGGAGAGCAGAGGUUUCAGGGCCUGAAUAAAUCUCUCUCCACUGUCAUUAUCUCCAGCAAGCAACCCAACCCAUGUCCAACCAAAGUGAAGAAAUAACUCAACAAUCCCAGUGUACUGAUGGGCUUCAUUGGGCACCAUCCUAUAGAAGGAAGUAGAUUGCCUUUGACUAGCAUCCUCUGGGGCAAAGGAGCCAUAAGUGAGCUAAAAGGAAAUAAAGGAGCAUAUUCAGUAAGAGUAGACAAGCUGUAUAUGUCCUUUGACGGCCUGCCAACACAGAAGGCCAGAUGAGCCAGUUGCCUCGGGAAGGCAGACUACAGAAAGCUGGGAGGAGUGGCAGAUCUGGCCUCCAUUAAGUCCACCCCAUGCUUGUUGACUACCUUCUCUGCCAUCCCUGCAUGCCCAGUUUCCUGCGCUGAAACCCCUGAAUGCCUGCUUUCCCCCCUCCUUAUAUUUCUUGAGCUUGAACGUCUUGCUUUUCUACUCUGCUGUUUUCCUCUCCUGCAUCAACCUUGCUUCACCACAGCAUUUCAGCUCCUCAUUGCAUGGUGUCUUAACUUCCCUUCCUUCCCACAUCUCUACCAAACCGCUAUUGCACAGAAUCUCGCUCAAGUGCCACAAUGCAUGGGCAGCUACCAGCUUUGCAGGCUCCCAGCUUUGCAGGAGAGCAGCUUCAGUCUCCAGUCAUUAAGGUAUGGGUCAAAGUUAAGAGAGACACUAGUUAGCAGAAUAUAAAGUGGAAGCGUGUUUUGGAGUGGUGAGGAAGCAGGGAUGAGUUAGUGCUCUCUCAUUAUCACAGUACCUUCUGUCCAUCCCAAUACUCUCUAUCUUUAUUUCACUCUCCCCUUCCUUCUCCAUUGCAUUUCACUGGAAACACUUUUUGUGGAGGGAAGGACUACUCUUUGUCAAUCACUAUUUUUCUACUAUACAAAACUUUUCUGGAUACAAAAUAUGAUGGUAAAUGAGUCUGAAGUCCCCAAGGUGGUAUCUUACCUGGGGGAUCUUGUAGAUGUCCAAGAUGUCUGCCAUUUGGAGGGAGGUAUCAAAGUCCAGUCCCCCAACAGCUGUCAUCAGAUGUUUCUGGGUGUCGCACUUGUAGUUAGGUAGAAGUGUGGAGGGAAGGUUCAGAGUGACCCGGUAGGUCAUCCUUUCAUUGAAGUAACUGUCAUAGAUGUGGAAUCCCAAUGUGUUAUUAGGCAAGAUCUUGGGGUUCUCAUUGAUCUCCUUGACAGCAAAGGCCAAGGCCAGAAUAUGCUGGUAGUUCUUUGGCACAACACUGCAAUGAGAAUUUCAUGCUGUAUACUAGGGAGCUACAUUAUGCAAUAUUCUUUUUUAAAAAUUAGGACCUCACGAGAAUUCUUCAAUGUCUUAUUGCAAAUUGUGCUUUAAGAUACAGGUAUCUGCAAAUCAAUUUCCUCUUAAAGGAUGCCAGAAUGGGUGUGGUACUAUUACUAUUACUAUUACUACCAUUACUACUAGUAUAUUGUUAACAAAUAGCUUAACCUUAGCUGUCCACUUUCUCUGGACUUUACCACCCACCGCCCUAUUUACUUCUCCCAAGUGACUGUUAACUGCAAUUUCUUCACUGAUCAGAACCUUGCACUGAUCACAAUCUGUUCUUGCCCAGACAUCCAGGGCUGUCUAUAAAUAUUAAACACAAUUCUCUCUUCCCCCCAUCACCAAGCAGCUUUCACCAAAGAUGCAUGCACCGCAUUAACAGCACAGGGUUUCAAACUUUGACAGUAACACACAAAUAUCAACAGAGACGAUGAAAAUAUUUUGAAAGCACAAAACAUAGACAUACAUUUAUCUACUGGUACUGAUCUGAUGCAACAAAAGACCUGCAUCAGAAUACAGAGAAGUAGGUAGCCUAGCUUAAUGGAUAACUUCUCAUCAUUUUCAGACCUGUGACAGGUCUCAUUGUUUUCAGACCUGUUAACUAGGAGUGUUAUUUGAGUCAAGCCUGACAUGGAUGCAAACACCUGGGGCUCUUAGAACUCCACAUUCUAAGAGGUGAGCUUUUAAGACCCCUCGCCCCAAACUUUCAGAGGUGAACUUCAAUAUUCAGAACAGAAAGACCUUUGCCUCUUAAACUAGGCAAGCUUAAGAUGUGUCUUCUUUUUAAACUAUUCUUGAAAGAAAUAUGGGGGGGGCAGAGAGCACAUCAGCAAAACAAGACUCUCUCAUCUCAGUGACACAUUCAGAUCCCCAUCUCUCUCUUCCCAAGCCAAGUCGAGCUUGCCCCUCCACCUCUGCCUGGAAGUAAAUAAGUGGAACUGGCUUCAAAGUAAGCAUGUUUAGCACUUGGCGAUGUUUUGGUAUCAUCUGAUUACAGAGUGGCUGGGGGGACUCAGCCAGAUGGGCGGGGUAUAAAUAAAUUAUUAUUAUUAUUAUUAUUAUUAUUAUUAUUAUUACUUGACAAAUGAAGUCUUUACAAGAUAUUAAGAAGUUGAUGGGUAGUUAGUCUUUCUUUGAAGUCUUCUUUGUCAAAAGCAGAAUGGAGGUGAGAAGCAAGUCCUCCAACAAUAAGAUCACCAGGUUGGUAGUAUUCAUGUGGAAUUCUGGACAGAUAAUGGAUGAUGCAACUCGUGGCAUGUUUGCACACCAUAAGUGGCAGAUAAAAGAGAAUGGGCACAAUAAAUAACAGCAUGCUGAGGCAAAUAUUAUUCCCUAUCAGACACCCUCAUUUCUAUCUAGAAAAUGAACCUUAGCUUCAGAACCAUCCUCCGUUCUAUAUUCUGUUUUGACAUGAACAACACUUCCCUACCAAUUCACAGAUUAAGAUCCUAUCCUACAACUCAACAGCAGAAAUCAUUCCUCUACCUCUGUGCUUUCCUAUGCUUAGAAUGGCAAGAAGGGUUUUUUAUACCCAUGUUUAGACUUUGGAUUGUAUUCUCUGCAAAUCUAUUGAGACAUUACCCAAGGGACACUUAGUAAUUACAAGAAUGAUUAUUACAGAUGAGAUUGUAACUAGCUCUCUUUACACCAGGAACAUCAGAAAAUGACAAAACAAAAACUUUCUCUUUAUGAGAGAACAGAAGGACAUUCAGGACGAGGAAGAAAACAACAGUGAGCCAAUCUGUUAUCCUGAAAUGCUUCAUCUGAUUAAUCUAAUCUCCUAAAAUUUCAUACCUGAACACUAGUUCAUUAGUUUACUGACAAUUAUACCAAGACAGAUUAAAGAAUGAUGAAAGGUGGCUUGUGUUUGUUUUAAGCUUUUAGAAGUUUAAAAUAUAUCCUCUGGAGUCCAAAACAUCCCUCUUCCCCCAGCAUAGAAAAAGGACACACAUCAUCCAGAAAACACAGGCAGUAAAACUUGGCUUAGUUACAGUGGAGGAAGUUCCAUAUUAUUGGUACAGGAAUAUAUGAGAGACUUGCUAGAGUCAUGCGGUCUGUGCUUGGAUGAACCAGCACAGAUCUCACAUGUUCUGCUUCUUAGGUAGAGCGAUUGCCUAGUCACUCCUAAGGCGAGCUAAGCCUGGCACAACAGCUUACUCUGUGGUCUUAACCCCAUCAUGCAUUAACUCAGUCAGAAGCAUGUUGGUUAGAUGAGACUGGUUCCAUGAGACUAGUUGGAAGAGCAGGCUUAAAUGUGGGAGGUGGCCUUGGAGAUAUUCCAGUAAAUGGUGGAGACCAUGUUUUCGUUUUGACUGGUUUCAAUUGACUUGGAAUCAGCUGAGCUAUGUCCUGCUUUUGUAGGAGAAAAUGGAAAUAGCUUGGCUUUUUCUGAGCCAAUGGAGACUGAGAUUGGGAGGAUUUUCUCCACAAGAUGGAUCACAGGUCUGCUUGUGUAUUUUAGGGACCCCCUUUUUGAAGCCUGCUGAAGGUAUCAUAUAAGGGGGAGAAAUAAAUAUUUGAUGGACUGCUAGGGAUGGGGGAGACAUUCAGUUCAGUUCCUGUUUAAAAUGGAAACAAUCAUGUUUGUUCUUUCUGAAUAUCAGAAGCAAACAAAUAGUGCAUAGUGAAAACAACAUUACCACACAGCUUGCAAAAAUGCCAACCCUGCAUAGAAAAAUGUGUUUAUUGAAGAACUACCGACAAAAGAGGAAUGGCAGAUGAAAUUGAUGGACUACGCAGAAUUGGAUAAGAUGACAGGGAGAAUUCGAAACCAGCGGGACCAGAAAUUCUUGAAAGACGAGUAAAUAUAUAAGUUAUUUGAAAGACAAUUGUAACCAACUGACUACGCUUGUAGGACUACAAGAAGUUUUGUAAGGAGACCUAUAUGAAAUAUGCAGAAAAGAUUUAUGAGAAUGGAUUUUAAGUUAUGGGUUAUUAAAAGGAAUAGGUAGGAUAAUAAAUGUAAGAUUAAGAGAUGAGGUUGGAAAAUCAUUAGACGCGGUUGAUGGGAGUCUCAGGCUAAAAUUGCCAAAAUGUUGUAUAAGAUGAGAUGA